UGUGCUCUGCUUUUGCGUAAGCCUAGCCCCACACACUAUUACAGGAACAGACUUGCUGGUUUUGAAUCUGGCCAUACACACUCCUAUUUUCCAAGAAAAAUCUUCUCUAAAAAUUAGAGGCACCUGCGUGUUGCUUAUUGAGUAGGCCUGAAGACUACUUCCAUAGAAGUGAAAUAUAUUGACGUUUUUAAAACUUGAGAACUAUUCAGAGUUGGUCUGGACUCUUUCUGGGUUAAAACAGACAACGGGGCACAUCUGAGGGUUGUUCCCGGUCUGCCCAAGGCCUCAGUGUGGACGGCAGCUUCAUCCCCUCCGGGUAUGACAGACAGAGGCCGGUUUGAAAGGAAACGCACAAUUGCCAGCGUGUCCCUUGUAUGAAUCCCACGGCUGGAAGUUUUUCUGUAAAUCGGCAUCUUCAGGCACCAACAGAAUCCCUAAUACAGCUGAUAUUUGACCAAAAUCACUAUAAUUACCUCACUUCCUGUGGAAAUUAUAAUUAAUGGUCUCUAGUCUCCCAAGAGAUAUUGAAGUUACAAGAUCAAUCAUAGGCUUCCAGCUCCUGCAACUUCAGGUAAAGAUGGACGUGUGAGUUAGUCCUGGCCAAUGAGAUGUGAGUGCAAUUGGUGAG
This is a long non-coding RNA of Artibeus jamaicensis (Jamaican fruit-eating bat), 628 nucleotides long. RefSeq lists it as uncharacterized. The transcript has 5 exons. Lineage: Eukaryota; Metazoa; Chordata; Mammalia; Chiroptera; Phyllostomidae. The record is from RefSeq and is a predicted model, not a curated record.